CAUAAAUACCGAAAAGCUCGGGUUUUCUAGAUUAAUAAGGUUGAUUGUCGACCUCUUGCUCGGCGUGUUAGCAGGAGUCAACGGAGUUCUAUCCUGACUACACUAGAGAGCAGUUAGUGCGCGCCGUGAUUAAAUUGGGUUGACGGUGAGGAAAAGAACCACUUUUGGACGAAUGAAAACUGUGUGUUAGUAGGUUUGAUAUUCGCUUUAAAACUAUCUCAAAGUGUGCAACGUACAGUCACACUUUAUGUGAGAAAAAGGUCCAACAAAGGGCCUUUUUCUUUGUAUUACAUACAGUUAUUCGCCAGGAUCAAAGACGCCAUUGUGUUCCUCGGCGCGAUCAGGAUUGAAUAACCAACAAUAGAACUGGUGUUGUAGAAAGUCUCCGUGGCUAAGCAAUCUAGAAAUAGACUAUACCACAUCCAUCCAAGGGAAACAUUCGCACCACCACUCUCAGCAGUCGAGAGAGGUGCGUGUUGUCUGUCGGUGCUCUGCAGAUUGAGGAGAGGUUUAUUGCACGGUUGGAAGGAAACUGCAUGAACCAGAAACAGAAUUGAAAUCAUCGUACCACUCGCACCGCAGAUAUCACGUCAUCGCCACCCACCCUGAUCCGUCGCCGUGAGCCACAUAAACCUUAUAAACUUCAUAAAACCGCAAGUAGAAGCAUGUGACGUCACAUUUAGAUUUAAAAUAAGUAUACAGAAGAACCUUAUAUAGGAUAGUUAAUUUAUUCCAAAAGAUUAUUAUGUUGUUGUUUGUUGUUCCAAGUAA
This is a long non-coding RNA of Toxorhynchites rutilus septentrionalis, 771 nucleotides long. RefSeq lists it as uncharacterized. The transcript is spliced from 3 exons. Lineage: Eukaryota; Metazoa; Arthropoda; Insecta; Diptera; Culicidae. The record is from RefSeq and is a predicted model, not a curated record.